Molecule: ribosomal RNA, 253 nt
Filed under: uncultured bacterium
Lineage: Bacteria
Description: partial 16S ribosomal RNA
Rfam family: Bacterial small subunit ribosomal RNA
Source: RNAcentral
UACGGAGGGGGCUAGCGUUAUUCGGCAUUAUUGGGCGUAAAGGGCGCGUAGGCGGCCCGGUAAGUCAAAGGUGAAAUCCCUCGGCUCAACUGAGGAACUGCCUUUGAAACUGUCGGGCUUGAGGCCGGGAGGGGGUAGCGGAAUUCCCAGUGUAGCGGUGAAAUGCGUAGAUAUUGGGAGGAACACCGGUGGCGAAGGCGGCUACCUGGACCGGUUCUGACGCUGAUGCGCGAAAGCGUGGGUAGCAAACAGG